This 532-nucleotide ribosomal RNA is filed under the name Ceratitis anonae. Its description in RNAcentral is "partial 16S ribosomal RNA". The stretch from base 391 to 532 matches the Rfam family "Bacterial large subunit ribosomal RNA", at positions 2473 to 2614 of the family's 2925-position model. Lineage: Eukaryota; Metazoa; Arthropoda; Insecta; Diptera; Tephritidae. The record is from RNAcentral.
GUCUUUUUGAGUUAUUUUUAAAGUCUGACCUGCCCACUGAAUAUUUUUAAAUGGCCGCAGUAUUCUAACUGAGCAAAGGUAGCAUAAUCAUUAGUCUUUUAAUUGAAGGCUGGUAUGAACGGUUGGACGAAGUAUAAGCUGUUUCAUAUAAAAUUAUAUUAGAAUUUUAUAUUUUAGUUAAAAAGCUAAAAUAUUAUUAAAAGACGAGAAGACCCUAUAAAUCUUUAUAUUUAAUAUUAUCCAAAUUUUUUUGAUUAAUUUUAUUUUUAUAAUAUUAAAUAUUUUGUUGGGGUGAUAUUAAAAUUUAACAAACUUUUAAUUUUGAAUUAGAACAUUAAUUUAUGAAUAGUUGAUCCAUUAUUAAUGAUUAUAAGAUUAAGUUACUUUAGGGAUAACAGCGUAAUUUUUUUUGAGAGUUCAUAUCGACAAAAAAGUUUGCGACCUCGAUGUUGGAUUAAGAUAUAUAUUUAGGUGUAGCCGUUUAAAUAUUAAGUCUGAUCGACUUUUAAAUUCUUACAUGAUCUGAGUUCAA